AGCUAUCAAAGCCUAUUCAUCUUUGAAAUGUUUCAAAAGUUUCCUCUUCCAGUCCUUGCAAUUACCAGGUCAGAAACUUAUCACCUGGAGUUCUGAAAGGGUCUCCUAUCUCUUGUCUCAUCACAUGAAUGUUCUUCACAGGCCACUCAUCCUGGUUGCCCAUGCCCAUUCACCUUUCCAAAACGUAGAUUUUCCUCAUUGUCCCAUGUUCAGAAUUCCCCACAUCUUAUAGGCUGAUACACAGAUUCCUCAGUUUGGAAGUCAUGCCCCAGCCACACAAUUUUCAUCAUUUUUAUCCAUUAAUCCCAGUAGGAACUUUGAGAAGAAGCCAGGCUAACCUGCUUUGCCCCUGAAGUCAUCCAGCCAGCAGCCGAUGUAGUUUCCUCUCCUGAUCUUUUCAUCCCUUAUCUCUGUCUCUCCAGUUAUUACUCAUCUUUUAAGAGUCAUGUUCAGGUCCUAUCUCCUCCUGGAGCCUCUUUCAGUCUCCGCUCAUCCCGCCAUGUCCAGACCCUUAGAUCCAUGUGCCACCAGAGGAGCUCACAGCUCCUACCUCACUAUUUUGUCUCUUCUUUUAGAGAAUAAGCAUGAGCUUUAGCAUUGUCAGACAGUACUAGAUGAGAUGGUCAUGUCUGCUAUUGAACAAGUCUUGCCUUGGACGAGUUUCUUAACCUGUCUGAGCCUCAGACUACUCAUCUGCACAGCAACUGUGAAGGUUUGAGGUGCCAGCCAUGGUAACGACCCAGAGACUGAUAAACGUUGGUCUCUACAAUUAUAAGUUCAUUGUGUCAAAUUAUUUAAUAAAAUGUAAUGAACUAGAAGUGGGAGAGUGAAAUCUCAAUACCAGUACAAGGAUUACUAGUGAUAACCUAGUAUGACCAUCCCAUAUUACCUACUAAGUCCAUCCAUUGCUUCUUGCAGACAGAGUUCUUCUGUUCCAGACAGGGCUGUCUCUCCUGUGUCCUGCAUCUGCUUGCUCACCCCGUGUGGUACCUUUGCUGGUGGUGAUCAUCUGCUUAGCAUACCUCCCCUCUUCUCCCCAAGAGUCCAAAUUCUGUUUCCUUAAAGGCCCAGUUGAAAACAUACAGCCAUUAAGGAAUGUCUGGCCUCCCUGUAGUGAUACUACCCUUGCUUUGAAGUGCCCGUUACUUUGUAUGGCAAGGUCACAUACUUGCUCUUACUCUCCAGUUGCCCACUUUCAUGUCAGUCCUCUGGACCCCACCAACCCUAAGCUCAUGCAGAUCAGGGAGCAUGUUAUCUUUAGUACUCCAUAAUAGUCAGCUUGUAUUUUUGAAAGCUGAUGGUAUAGUGGGCAGAGAGGAUACAGGGUGAUAAAACAAGCUCACAUUUCGUCAUUCAGGAAAUCUAAUGAGCCCUGGUUGCAGAUUCUGUGUGAGACACUGUGAAUUGAGAAUUCAGUGGGACACAGUCCCUGGUGUACUCAAGGACACUACUAAUGCUCUGUGAAGCUCAAAACGCUGCAUGUUUUCACUAACUGCUUGUGGAAAGGAUGAAUGCCCAAAAAGACCGAUUUCCUCCCCAGUCAGCAGUUACUUAGCUGCUUUCUCUGAGUCAGGCACUGUCUAUACCACAGAGAAAGAGAGACAGAGAACCUAUUCCAUAGAGCUUUUGUUUUACAGAAAGUGGGGUCGAAGAACCAGACAGUAUGGAAGUAACUAAACAUGAAGAUAUUCAAUAAGGACUAUGAACAAUCAAUGGGGGGGAUGUGUUUGGAAGGGUUAGAGAGAGCCACCUUCAGUAGGUAAUGUUUAGGCUGAGGUGAGUGACAAGAAGGUCCUGGCCAUAUGAAGGGUGAGCAUGAAGAGCAGAGAACAGUGGGUAGAAGGCACCCAGCUGGAGAGAGGGUAGAAUGCUGGAUUGCUCAGUGCCUUAAAGUGGAGCGACGUCAUUUGAUACGUGUCUUUGAAGAUAGCUCAGGCCACUGAAUGGAGAGUGGAUCAUUGGGAGAAUAUGAGUAGACAUAUACAGCCCAGGUAGAAGGCAUGGAGAGAGUGGCAUUCAUGGGUAAGAGCUUGUGGGUACAGGCUAUACUGGUGGGUGGAGAGAGGGAGAAACUAUCUGUAUGCAACAUACUCCAAAAAGCCUCUCUCAGAUGGGAAGAGCAUGGGUUUGGAGUUAGGCAGACCCGAGUCCCAGUUUGAACUCAGCUACUUAACAUUUGUGAAUCUUUAAACCUUGCCUAGUCCCAGGUUUUUUAUAUGUGAAAGUAGAUGAGAUGUCCCAUUAUAAGUUUUGUUGAGGGGUUUGCAAUCAGAGCACUAUCACCAGGCAGUGAUAAUAGUUCAUCAAGUGACAUUUCUCUUCCCCACUUAAGGGAGUUUAAUUCUGAAUAUUAAUUAUAAUUAUUAAGUAAUGGUACUUAGAAAUUGAAUAGUUCAUUGUGAGCACAUGAAAUAACAUCUACUGUAAUGAGUGUGAAUAAUAAUACUUCACAGUAGUAGCUCAGCCUGUAGUGACCUCAGAGUCCAUUAGCAGGCUCUUGAACCUGUCACCUGGGGGAUCUCUGUCAAAAUGUCAGGCCCUCACCAGCACAGAAAGGAAAAAAGUCCUUUCUGCCAUGUGGGAGUGAGAAGAAAGGGGGAGGGGAGAGAACUGACCUGCAUUAAGCAGCACCAUGUAGCAGACAGUUCUGGUGCUUUACCUGCAUAGUAGUCUCAGUCCCCACAAGAACUUAUGAGGUGGCGUUAUCCCCUCCCUCCGUUCAAUGAGGAAUAAGGCGGCAGAGUUGAGGCAUUUCUACCCAUUACUCAGCAAAUAUGUAUUGCUCACUGUGGCAAGGAUAGUGGGCAAUACAUAUUUGAGUAAUUAAGGUGAGGUUCUUAUGGAAUUUACAUUUGCAUGAAAGAGAUUUACCAAAGAAUUCAUCGUAUACAUAUUAGUUAAUUGCACUUGUAAUGCUUUUUGACUAUUCUACAUAGGUGGGAUUUUACCCAGUAAGACCUUAAUUUUCAAUCUUUUGGCUGAAACGUCACUUCUGGAGCCUGAUGGCUUCCAUAAUGCCCUAGAUUCCUGCACUGUCAACGUUAUUUUCCAGUUCGCUGUGGUUGCUUGUGUAAUUACCUGGCUUCCUCUCUAGACUUUGUGAGGCCAAGUCUAUGCCUGUCUUGUUCAGCAUACCCUGCUGACUGGCCAGGUGCCUGACGUGGAGAUUGAUGAAGGCUAGGAUUGAAGUGGUAACUGUGAAAGCAUUCCCUAGACUGCAUAAUGGAACAUGAGAGGGGCCUCAGAGAUGAUUCCUGAGUUUGGGGUGUGGAGAUGGAGAUUAGUCACUGACAUCAGUAUAGAAGUCAGGGAAUGGAACUGGCCUACCACAGUGGAAUGAUGGUGAAUUUGAUUGCAGAUUGGCUUAUUGUGGCAGGGACUUCAGGGUGGAAUUGUUUGUUGGAGAGGAACUUAAAAGUUUGGUGUACAUAUAUGUUUUGGAGUUUUGGUCAGUACCGAUUGUUGAUACUAUAAUCCUUUGUGACUUCUAAGGGAGUAUAGUAGAUCAAUGCCUGGGCAUUGAGGAAUAUACAGGAAAUACAUAUUGCAUGGGCUUUUCAUGCCUACUAGGUGCCCCAUUGCCAAACAAAUGAAUUGGAUUCAAACCAUUUCUCCUGGGUUGAAGAGAAACUGGUCACACAUCUUCCAUGAAAUAAUCUUUCUUUUACUUAAGAAAAAUGUUACAUAUAUUCAAUUUUGGGUAUCAGAUUUAACCAUUUAUUUAGCACAUAACUACUGAGCACCUACUGUGCACCACAUACUUUUCUAGGUGCUGAGAAUGCAAUCAACCACAAAGUAUAAUCUUGACUUUAUGUUCUGGUGCUGGGAGUUACAUAAAAAGCAGAGAAGUAUGUUUAUAUAUGCAAAUGGUGGUAAGUGCUGUAGAGAAAAAAAUAGAAUGGUAAUUUAGGUGCACAAUCCUUUAUUCUAAAUUCUUGGUACCAGAUGUAGUUCAUACUGUCUGUUAAUAUCCCUAGUGGUAUCUGGACCAACACUCCGUAAUAAAAUAUUUUAGAAGCAAUGAUCACAGGUAGCCUCAUGUCAUCUUAGUUCAACUUUUGUUGCCCAAUGAGUUAAGAUCAAGUUUUGCUAUCGAAUGAAAUGAGUUAAAAGCCUUAUUUCAAUUUAGUUUAGGUUGUUGUUUUUAAAUUUUCAGAGCUAACAUGUAGUUCUUAACCAAAAGUUCCAGGCACAGUUCUAAGCACUACAUAUAUGUAUGUGUAUAAAUUCAUGCAAUCCUCAUAGCAGUUUUACAGUGUAUCCAUUAAUCCCCUUUCAGAUGGGAGAACUGAAGCACAGAGAGGUUAAACAAGGUGCCCAAGAACCUAGCGUCUCCACCUUCAACCACUGUCCUGUAGGGUAUGAGUGCCGGGGUUGGGGAGGGAGACUGCUCCUUAAAGAAGAAGGCCAGGGAAGGCCUCCUGAUGUGGUGACAUCCAUCCAGAGACCUGAAAGAAGUAAAGGAAGAGCCAUGUAAAUGGGUAGCUGAAGGAAAGCAUUCCUGUGCGGGGUGGGGAGUGGGAAUAUGCUUGUUGUGUUUGA
Sapajus apella (tufted capuchin) is the source of this 4542-nucleotide long non-coding RNA. RefSeq lists it as uncharacterized. NCBI's taxonomy places the organism in Eukaryota, Metazoa, Chordata, Mammalia, Primates, Cebidae. The transcript has 2 exons. The record is from RefSeq and is a predicted model, not a curated record.